AUACGUAGGGUGCGAGCGUUGUCCGGAAUUACUGGGCGUAAAGAGCUCGUAGGUGGUUUGUCGCGUCGUCUGUGAAAUUCCGGGGCUUAACUCCGGGCGUGCAGGCGAUACGGGCAUAACUUGAGUACUGUAGGGGAGACUGGAAUUCCUGGUGUAGCGGUGAAAUGCGCAGAUAUCAGGAGGAACACCGGUGGCGAAGGCGGGUCGCUAGGCAGUAACUGACGCUGAGGAGCGAAAGCAUGGGUAGCGAACAGGAUUAGAUACCCUGGAAGUCCAUGCCGUAAACGGUGGGCGCUAGGUGUAGGGGUCUUCCACGACUUCUGUGCCGUAGCUAACGCAUUAAGCGCCCCGCCUGGGGAGUACGGCCGCAAGGCUAAAACUCAAAUGAAUUGACGGGG
Molecule: ribosomal RNA, 398 nt
Filed under: uncultured bacterium
Lineage: Bacteria
Description: partial 16S ribosomal RNA
Rfam family: Bacterial small subunit ribosomal RNA
Source: RNAcentral